GGGGAAUUACCUCAAAUGGUAGAGUGCUUGCUUAGCAUGUAAAAGGUAGCGGGAUCUAUGCCCGCAUUCUCCA
Non-coding RNA from Manacus vitellinus (golden-collared manakin), 73 nucleotides. Lineage: Eukaryota; Metazoa; Chordata; Aves; Passeriformes; Pipridae. The record is from Rfam.